This 368-nucleotide ribosomal RNA is filed under the name uncultured organism. RNAcentral's name for it is "bacterial SSU rRNA". It matches the Rfam family "Bacterial small subunit ribosomal RNA", at positions 526 to 896 of the family's 1533-position model. The record is from RNAcentral.
CGGAGGGUGCAAGCGUUAUCCGGAUUCACUGGGUUUAAAGGGUGCGUAGGUGGGUAGGUAAGUCCGUGGUGAAAUCCUGCAGUUUAACUGCAGAACUGCCGUGGAUACUAUCUCUCUUGAAUACCGUGGAGGUCAGCGGAAUAUGUCAUGUAGCGGUGAAAUGCUUAGAUAUGACAUAGAACACCAAUUGCGAAGGCAGCUGGCUACACGAAUAUUGACACUGAGGCACGAAAGCGUGGGGAUCAAACAGGAUUAGAUACCCUGGUAGUCCACGCCCUAAACUAUGGAUACUCGACAUACGCGAUACACUGUGUGUGUCUGAGCGAAAGCAUUAAGUAUCCCACCUGGGAAGUACGAUCGCAAGAUUG